GUGUCAGCCGCCGCGGUAAGACGAACCAUCCAAACGUUAUUCGGAAUUACUGGGCUUAAAGGGUGCGUAGGCUGCGCAGAAAGUUGGGUGUGAAAUCCCUCGGCUUAACCGAGGAACUGCGCCCAAAACUACUGUGCUUGAGGGAGACAGAGGUGAGCGGAACUUAGGGUGGAGCGGUGAAAUGCGUUGAUAUCCUAAGGAACACCCGUGGCGAAAGCGGCUCACUGGGUCUCUUCUGACGCUGAUGCACGAAAGCUAGGGGAGCGAACGGGAUUAGAUACCCUCGUAGUCC
This 292-nucleotide ribosomal RNA is filed under the name uncultured bacterium. RNAcentral's name for it is "partial 16S ribosomal RNA". It matches the Rfam family "Bacterial small subunit ribosomal RNA", at positions 505 to 796 of the family's 1533-position model. The record is from RNAcentral.